This 597-nucleotide long non-coding RNA is filed under the name Homo sapiens (human). RNAcentral describes it as "HSALNT0106672". Lineage: Eukaryota; Metazoa; Chordata; Mammalia; Primates; Hominidae. The record is from RNAcentral.
GUUCUGCGGCUGGUAGAGUUUGUGCACCUCUAGUGCCUCACAGACUUUGAUAAGCAGGAACUACGUGGAGAGCUAGUGAAAAUGCAGAUUCUGAUUCAGAAGUUCUGGAGUGGGGCCUGAGACUCAGCAUUUCUAGACAGCUCCAGGGAGACGCUGAUGCUACUGAUCCAAGACACACUGAGGAGAAUUGAUGGCCCAAAGUGAAUGUCCUGCCCUGUGAUCUGCCCUUUAGCGGAAGAAACAGCAAAACCGGCAUCAACUAAAGCAACUGGGAACAUCAAGUUUUUAUUCAUUUGUUGAUUUGAACAGUAUUUCAUUCUGAUUUUAACUGACUUCUUUUGCAUUAGAUUAAAAACAACAACAAAAGACUGAAAUCUUUCAAGAACAAAGAGGAGCUGGCCUAUAAAUCCUAAAUACAGAUGUAGUGAUUGAACCCAUCUAGGUAGCUUAUGAAUAUAAAUCUCACCCAAAGUUUCAUCCACACUUAAGAGAUAACCACUGUUAAUAUUUUGGCAACUACUCUUGGAAGUAUUUGUGUCUAAAUACAAAUACCUAUGCGUAUGCAAUUUUACUUAACUGUGAUCAUAGUAGGCCUGC